RNAcentral lists this transfer RNA (71 nucleotides) under Marmota monax (woodchuck). Its description in RNAcentral is "tRNA.Ala". Lineage: Eukaryota; Metazoa; Chordata; Mammalia; Rodentia; Sciuridae. The record is from RNAcentral.
UGGGGUGUGGUUCAGUGGUAGAGCGCUCUCUAGCAUGUGUGAGGCACUGGGUUUGAUCCUCAGCACCACAC